GGGAGAGGCAGCAGGCGUAAAGAAGGCCCUCCUGCAAGUUUCGGCUCGCCUCCAUGACACUCCCUCUCGGUCAAAUCAUUUGCUUGCUUUGAACAUGCCACAAAUAUACCCGCAUGGUGCUCCUUAUGCCUAUACAGAUGCUGGAGCACCUGUCCUGGAUAUUGGUCCACCGAUGGGUUCUUACGGAGGUUACAUGGGUGAUGCUGCAAGAGAUUGGCCGUCUUUCCGCCGUACUCCGAGAGAUGAGACUCUAGCAAAGGAGUUUGGCGUACGUCUGCUUUGUUCUGC
This 288-nucleotide unclassified non-coding RNA is filed under the name Hevea brasiliensis (rubber tree). The record is from RNAcentral. Lineage: Eukaryota; Viridiplantae; Streptophyta; Magnoliopsida; Malpighiales; Euphorbiaceae.